UCAUUUGAUUGUGGCCAUGCUGGAGUACUGCCUUUAGUCGAGCAAAUCGACCCCAGGACUUAUUCUUUGUAUGGUUAACGUAAAUAUCCAGCAAAGCUGUCUUAAAACAAGUAACUAGCUGACAUUUUGCAGGAUAACUUCUUACUGAAAGGCAUCAUAAGAGACAGUUGUUGACACCUCAAGUAAGAUGGUGAGCUGCUGGGCAUUUUGUUUAUCUGAGACAUAAACAUUGUUACUGCUGGCUAAAUAGUGUCAAUAUGAAAAUGUGGUUAGGAACAGAUGCACACACACACACACACACACACACACACAUACAGGCAUGUGUGUGUGUGUGUGUGUGUGUGUGUGUGUAUUGGUUCAG
Octopus bimaculoides (California two-spot octopus) is the source of this 361-nucleotide long non-coding RNA. The record is from RefSeq and is a predicted model, not a curated record. NCBI's taxonomy places the organism in Eukaryota, Metazoa, Mollusca, Cephalopoda, Octopoda, Octopodidae.